This 253-nucleotide ribosomal RNA is filed under the name uncultured bacterium. RNAcentral's name for it is "partial 16S ribosomal RNA". It matches the Rfam family "Bacterial small subunit ribosomal RNA", at positions 524 to 776 of the family's 1533-position model. The record is from RNAcentral.
UACGGAGGAGGCAAGCGUUAUCCGGAAUUAUUGGGCGUAAAGAGCGUGUAGGCGGCCUGACAAGUCUGCUGUGAAAACUCGAGGCUCAACCUCGAGAUGUCGGCGGAAACUGUCUGGCUAGAGUCCGGAAGAGGAGAGUGGAAUUCCUGGUGUAGCGGUGAAAUGCGCAGAUAUCAGGAAGAACACCUAUGGCGAAGGCAGCUCUCUGGGACGGUACUGACGCUGAGACGCGAAAGCGUGGGGAGCGAACAGG